AGAGUUUGAUCAUGGCUCAGGACGAACGCUGGCGGCGCGCUUAACACAUGCAAGUCGAGCGAGAACCCAGGCUUCGGCCUGGGGGAAAGCGGCGAACGGGUGAGUAACACGUGGGUAAUCUGCCCUCGGCAUCGGGAUAGCCCGGGGAAACCCGGAUUAAUACCGAAUGGCCCGACAGCUCUUCGGAGCGGUCGGAAAAGGUAGCUUUGGCCUCCGGCCGAGGAGGAGCCCGCGGCGGAUUAGCUUGUUGGUGGGGUAACGGCCCACCAAGGCUCCGAUCCGUAGCUGGUCUGAGAGGACGAUCAGCCACACUGGGACUGAGACACGGCCCAGACUCCUACGGGAGGCAGCAGUGGGGAAUCUUGCGCAAUGGGCGAAAGCCUGACGCAGCGACGCCGCGUGAGGGAAGAAGGCCUUCGGGUUGUAAACCUCUUUCAGGGGGGACGAAGCCACUCGGGUUAAUAGCCCAGAGGGUGACGGUACCUCCAGAAGAAGCCCCGGCUAACUACGUGCCAGCAGCCGCGGUA
This 527-nucleotide ribosomal RNA is filed under the name uncultured Actinomycetes bacterium. RNAcentral describes it as "bacterial SSU rRNA". It matches the Rfam family "Bacterial small subunit ribosomal RNA", at positions 8 to 522 of the family's 1533-position model. Lineage: Bacteria; Bacillati; Actinomycetota; Actinomycetes. The record is from RNAcentral.